AGUUCAUGUUGGAUGCUGAACCUCAUCUAUGGGAUAAUCUGGCAAUUUCAUUUGGUCCAAGAAUCUUGAAGUUUAAGAAAAAGCCCUUUCCUCUUUAUGAGACACUUGCAAAUCUCUACCAUAAACACACCGCUGAGGG
Molecule: long non-coding RNA, 139 nt
Organism: Lolium rigidum
Lineage: Eukaryota; Viridiplantae; Streptophyta; Magnoliopsida; Poales; Poaceae
Exons: 3
Source: RefSeq, a predicted model, not a curated record